UACGGAGGGUCCAAGCGUUAUCCGGAAUCAUUGGGUUUAAAGGGUCCGUAGGCGGUUUUGUAAGUCAGUGGUGAAAGCCCAUCGCUCAACGGUGGAACGGCCAUUGAUACUGCAAGACUUGAAUUAUUAGGAAGUAACUAGAAUAUGUAGUGUAGCGGUGAAAUGCUUAGAGAUUACAUGGAAUACCAAUUGCGAAGGCAGGUUACUACUAAUUGAUUGACGCUGAUGUGCGAAAGCUAGGGGAGCGAACGGG
Molecule: ribosomal RNA, 253 nt
Filed under: uncultured bacterium
Lineage: Bacteria
Description: partial 16S ribosomal RNA
Rfam family: Bacterial small subunit ribosomal RNA
Source: RNAcentral